Phascolarctos cinereus (koala) is the source of this 2040-nucleotide non-coding RNA. The record is from RefSeq and is a predicted model, not a curated record. NCBI's taxonomy places the organism in Eukaryota, Metazoa, Chordata, Mammalia, Diprotodontia, Phascolarctidae.
CUCCUCCUCCUCCUUCUCCUUCCCCACCUUCUCCUCUCUCUCCCCCGCCUCCUCCUCCACCUCUACCACCACUCCCUCCGGGGCGCCCAGGUCCCAACAGAGUCCCCGCCGGGCGCUGCCACCGCCACCAUCCACAGCUUCCCCUCCCAACCCGAGCCAGCUGCCACGGGGGCAGGGUCUAAAAAACUAUGUUCAAAAUUGAUGCUCUUUCGGUUUGCACUUACAACAAGUGUUGUCUUCAGAAGCCAGUUUGCCAGGGGCUAAGAAGUGAGGAGGUGAAGAGGAAGUAGAGGUGUUUCCUUGGAGAGAAAAAUGAUAUGAAUCAGAAAUCCUUCCAGCGUGGGGGAAUUCCUGUCCAGCUGGAUAGUCUAAGGAGCCAGGGCGACAGCCUGUGGUAAAAUAGAAGAAUGUCAACUCUUUAAUCCUAUUGAUUCCCAGUUCCUUUUGAUCUCAGCAGUUCCUGCUGCUCAGGCAAGUAAAAGCACUCCUCGUUGCAGUGAUGAUGCGUUCUGGAUCUUCCCCCACACCUAACAUCGAAGGAGGAAUUGGGAGACAAAUUACUGGGAGACCGAUCCAGAGAAGGGGCAAAUGACAAUUCCUACAGUUUGGUAAAGGGCAGAGAAAAACUGCAUUCAGCCUGCCAGUGUGGCAGGCUUCUGCCUCUGCCCCCUCCCUACUUGACCUAUCUUACCCUACACCGGCAAACGUCGAGAGGCUCCAGCCCCUCCCUUCUGUCCCUAAACAGAUCUAGGGACUUUCGGAACCAGUCAGGAGGUAGCUAAACCAGCCUCUGGUAAACCCAGGUCCCUGACUCUCCAUGACCUGCGCUGACGCCGGGAGGACUCUCGCCGAAGAAGAUGCUUCAGGCAUAGAAAGCCUAGCUGUACAUUGACCUCCAUCGCUCCUGGCUCCGCGGAAUUUUCCGGGCCCGGCUGGCCCUCCGCGGCUGCACCUCUAGGACUAGGGCACCUUCUGUUUGGGCAGAGCCCGGGGCUUUACCCUGGGCAUAAUCUCUGACUUUCUGUAAAAAAUCUGGGAGAAAAGGCGGGGACCGAGAAAGUAUGAGGUUUGGGGACCGUUUUCCUUCCCCCUGCUCCAGAAGAAGCGAAAAAAGUCACUCAAGACAAAUCCACCCCUCGUCCAUUCAACGAUGACAGGCCCCACAGGGCCCAGGCCAAAGCAACUGAGUUCUUCCGAAACGCUUUAGGAGGACGCUAGAGUGUACCGGGGCCGGGCGUUAUUAUUCAACCUCAAUAUACCCCAACCGCUUUAAUAAUCCAGAGAUAAAGUGGUGUGUGUGCGUGCGUGCGUGUGUGUGUAUGCGUGUGUAUUUCAUUUCUUCUUUCUCUAUGAAAGCCCGGCCCGUCCCUAUCCCACCCCCACCCUGGCCCCAAGCAGCUCCUCACAUUAUCCGGCCUAUUGGAGUACUGGAAUCGCCAUGAUAAAUUACUCUUUGAAUCUGAAUUCAGCUAGUACAAAAGGGCAGAUAACCCCCAUCCCCGGCAGAGGCCCGCCCGCGGGAGCAGGCAGUUUUUACAAGUGGCUUCCAUCCCCCCCCCACAAAAAAAUACAGCACUAAAACUCAACCGAGAAAUAAUAAUAGACUCAACAUAUAUAAUCAAGAUAACAAGCCAUCAUAAGCAUAUGCACUGACAUGCAUGUUAGAAGAAUGCUUUCCACUCCAUUCCAUUCUGACUGAAAUCCCUCUUUUUCCAUCCUCCUCUUUUUUCCUUCUUCCCCACCCCUCCCCCAUCCUUUUCCCUCCUCUCUUCCUUUCUCUUUACUCACUUCUUCUUUUAAAAGUUAAUUGCAACUUUUUCCUGUGCGCUCUGAUCUGGAUAAGCCAUAUCUCAUUAGAAAAAGAUUUAGCUUGAGCCAAAGUAGGCUGGAGAAGGAAUCCCUAAUCAGCACAGUAUAUAUUUUUGUAUAAUUGCUCCUUGGCAUUCUCCUUCUUGCUCCCCCUCCCGCGCACCCCCCCCCUUCUCUGUACACUGCUUCCCCGUUUCUUUUUGCUCAUUAAACUGAAAAGAAAGUCGUGUC